RNAcentral lists this ribosomal RNA (513 nucleotides) under uncultured fungus. RNAcentral's name for it is "eukaryotic LSU rRNA". The stretch from base 149 to 302 matches the Rfam family "5.8S ribosomal RNA". Lineage: Eukaryota; Fungi. The record is from RNAcentral.
GCCCGGGCUUCGGCCUGGUUAUUCAUAACCCUUUGUUGUCCGACUCUGUUGCCUCCGGGGCGACCCUGCCUUCGGGCGGGGGCUCCGGGUGGACACUUCAAACUCUUGCGUAACUUUGCAGUCUGAGUAAACUUAAUUAAUAAAUUAAAACUUUUAACAACGGAUCUCUUGGUUCUGGCAUCGAUGAAGAACGCAGCGAAAUGCGAUAAGUAAUGUGAAUUGCAGAAUUCAGUGAAUCAUCGAAUCUUUGAACGCACAUUGCGCCCCCUGGUAUUCCGGGGGGCAUGCCUGUUCGAGCGUCAUUUCACCACUCAAGCCUCGCUUGGUAUUGGGCAACGCGGUCCGCCGCGUGCCUCAAAUCGUCCGGCUGGGUCUUCUGUCCCCUAAGCGUUGUGGAAACUAUUCGCUAAAGGGUGUUCGGGAGGCUACGCCGUAAAACAACCCCAUUUCUAAGGUUGACCUCGGAUCAGGUAGGGAUACCCGCUGAACUUAAGCAUAUCAAUAAGCGGAGGA